AAAAAAAAGCCCAACCUUUUUUCCAAAUAUUAAUGGAGAAAAAGACAGCUUGAAAAUGAAAAGGAGGGUCUGCAAAGAAGCUAAGGAAAUAGCCAAGAGGCAUCUUCUGAAGCAUCAAAGUUUGAAAUAGCUGAGUGAUCAAGGCAUUGGUCAGUAUCGUCAGGGCUUGUAAAGCGCUUUCCUUUUACAUCCCUGCUUUAUGGAGCUGUGCUCUGCGUGGUAUGCCUGGACUUACUUUCUUACCAACUUGGACAGUUAUCACUUGGUAUGCCUGUAAUUAUUCCAAGGUAUGUUUGUUAGUGGGAAAAAAUAGCUUUUUUUCAUUUUAAAGAUUCCACAUAACUAAUACAUAACACAUUUUCCAAAUGUAUUUUGUACAAAUUUUUCCUUUUUAGAAGCAAAGAAAAUAGUAAUGGGAAAAGGAAUCUUGCACAGCAAGAAACGUAGCUUUUAGUAAUGUCAUGAAUCACAUAUACACAAUUACUGUCUUUUGCUAGUCACCUCUGCUCUAAUCUGUGAUCAUGUGUUAAAACAAAGAAAGUAAAAGGUCUUAUGUGAACUAUGUGCAUAGAAAUAAAGUUCUGACUAAGGAAAACACAUUCUCUCUGUAAAAGGACUUCCCUGUUACCUGAAGAAGUGAAAACACUGAGUUGCUUGGCAUGUUGGCAUUAUCUUGAGGAAAAGCAGCAUUCUUAAAGAGCGUCAUGGUGGACAUAGAUUUUUGAGGAAGGAUUUGGUGAGUGUAGUAAUGCUUUCUUUAUCAGCUGAGCCUGAGGUGAAGAAUUGUAUCUAAAAUGAGAUGUGGAAGAAGAUGGGGAGAGGCAUGGAGAAGACACACGAUCGGUGCAGUGGGAGGCCUGGGAGGAGGUACUGGGGCUGAUGGAAUCAGCAGAUACUGCGAUGUACUGUGAAAGCAUCAGAGUGGCAGGGUGAGAAGCUUGUGUUGCGCAGGGUGCAGAGGGAGCUGUUAGUGGAAUUAGAGAGAGGCUGACAUGGGAGAUGUCUUUGCAUUUCCGUUUUGAAUGACUCUGAGGAAGAGCAGAGGAGUGGAAGAGAACAGCUUGCAGUAAUUGAUAUGGGCUGCCUAUGUUUCUGCUGCAUUAAUGCAGUCCCUCUGAAUUCAUGUUCACCCAGGCCACAGAUGUAGAGACCGCUGCUCUUUGACCAACAAACUCGUACACCUCUUCCCCGUAUGACUAUGAGGAAUGGAAGAAAAUGGGAAAUGGUUGGUUUUUUGCUUAGGGAAAAUAUGAUAGACAACUUCUUCAUUUUUUUUUUAAACUAUGUUAGUCUGUUCAGCAGAAUUAGUUCUGUAUUUUUUUGCAAAAUAAGGUGACAUUUUAGAAACUCAACAUUACAUUUUAUAAGAAAGGUAGCUAUACAAAAGUACAGCUCUAUUGUAAAUUCAAGCUGCAAGCAAUGGACAGUUAAAGGUUUCAGAGAAUGCUUUAAAAUUCCUUUUAAAAUUUCUGCUGUAUACAUGUAGAUCUGUCCAUGAAGAAAUACCUUCUGUUGAAGUUCUAAGUAUAAAAAUGUUGUGAUUUUUAGUGUUUUUUUAAAAGUUCCAAUAAAAGUCAUGCUUAUGAAAACCUUUACACUGCAGUAAUCACGGAAGGGCAAACUGUCUACAAUUUCUUUUACUCCUAGCUAUUUUUAUAUAAAAAAGGAUGCCCACAGUAUUUACAAUCCCGAUGUCAAAGUUGUGAAAGUAUCUGAAACUAAAAGAGAUACAGCCUUCGUUGAUUCUUGUGUGUCUGCUGAGAGUCGCACAAAACGAACUUAACAAGCCCUGACUUCACUGCGUUUUUAGAAUCAGUUUUACUUUCACUAGUCAAAUACGCGACAAGUCAGUAAGGCAGUUCUAACACUGAAAAUAUCAGUGGCACCCAGCAAAUGCAUUACUAUUUUUUGUGUUUGCCAGUUUUGUGGCUGGUCUGAUAGGACUUACUGAGUAUGUCACAAUGAACAGUGAAGACAUGCAUGGAGCAAACACAGUUUUCUUCUUCCAGCCUUUUUUCUCUAGAUUAGUUCUUCGGUAGCUGGUUAAUGUUUCAUGGGGUUGGAUGUUUGCUAACAUUUGGCUGACUGUAGAAUUUGCUAAUUGUUAACCACUGCUUGUUCCUCUGCAAUACUUGUGUAUGAAGGGUUACUUCCAUUGUUUAGUAAAAAGGUUUCUUGAGCAAACUUUAAAGAUAAAAGCAAAACCCCAAAUGGAGAGAGUUCAGAGAACAGCGACAAGGAAACUUCAGCCUUCUCUGUGCUACAUGCCAACCUAGGGGUAAGUUCUGGCUUUUUCUUAUCUUCUAAUGACUUAAUCUUAUUGUUGAAGGCCUACUUUGGCAGCGGUAGCAUCCUGCUUUUGCACUUGCACUAGUGAUAGGUGUGGCUUUGAACAGUCUUCAAAUCUUACACCUUUGCAACUCUCAGUACGUCUUUCAGCUUACAGGUAGCAGGUGUUACUCCGUACCUUGCUGGCUGACGUGUACAUUGUUCUCUUCCAAAAACGGGAAUUGUGCAAUUCAUGACCUGGCAGUAACAUUUCUGACAGGGUCCCUGGCUUUUUGGCGGGCAUAGAGCUUGCUCUCGAUAUGGUGGUAUUCAGGUUUUGAGGGUUUCAUUGCCGUUCGUCUCUGCAUAAUCCAGAUCUGUUAAUUCUCACCUUGGGUUAAUUAGAGUUCGUAAAGCACUUUGUAAACCUCAGUGGACAGGUGCUAGACACGUAUAAACCUUUUAUAGGUGCUGCAGGUGUGCUGACAGGCUGCUGCUGCACCAUGGGCUGUCUGGUUGCCUUACAGUCUGUGUGAUUUUUCAGUUACUAUAUUGGCAUACUCUGGAUCUUAAGUUAUUCAGUAUUACUUUUUUACUGAGCUGAACUUUUAAUUAAACAGCUGUGAAAGCAGAUGAAGAUCUUAAGAAGGGAGAGGAGUUAAAUAUUACUGUUCUUCCGUGUUGUCCUUUGGAGGAGGGAUUUAUUGUGGUGUUUAGGCAGCAAUUGCUCCAAAGAUGUUUUUGCAAAGAAAUAUCUGUCCUCCAGCUCCAUAAUUAUUAGAUGAUCAGAAGCUUGAGAUGCGUUAUCUAAAACAGCACAGAAACUUUGCCGUUUCAUUACUGCUGAGACUGGAGAGGCAAGACUUGUAGGAAGAGGUAACUGAUUAGAAUUCUGGGGCCAGCACCACAAAGAACAUUUCAGCUUGUAUUUCCUGUUGACUUGAGAAACCAAGUUUGUCCUGCUAACCAUUGGAAAGACCCUUUAAAAGAUACUGUCAGACAGUUGGGCCUGGGUAGGAACUCUUGGUUUCUAUGACUUCAGUUGCAGUUGGAAGAAGAUGCUGUAGAUAAGCCGGGAGCUUUGCAAAGUCAGGUAAAGAGACGGGAUGCAGCAUCAGACUAGGAUCAGCGAUCUACCAACUAAAAAAAAAAUGGUUUUUUGGGUGCCUGCCAUAGCAGCAGUGUGUUUAAUGUCUACAGCAAGUGUGUGUUUGAUGGAGUCUGAAAAAACUUGCUAAUGUUUAGAUGUGUCUUUUGGUCUGUUUUAGAAGUUGGAGCCUGAUUUGUCACGAGGUGGCAGCACGGGAGAAGGAAAGACUUCAUUUUCCUCUCAUUCUGGCAAACAUCUGAAUCUUUCUUUUCCAAAGUGGAGAAAAAGAUGGUCUUGUACACGGCUCCCCAGGUGACUCUGUUCCUUUGAAAGUAACUGAAAGUCAUUGCAACUGCUGAAGAAAGUAUGAAACCUCAGGUAGGGGCAGGUGUUGCUUGUAGCUGAAAUUGCUGUCCUGGUUUGAAAUGGAGAAACCAGUUGUAGCUUAAACUUCACCUGAUGAUGGGAUAAAUAAUAAUCAGUGUCUUAGGAGCACAGCAAAUGGUCCCUCUACUACCAACGCCGGCUCUCAAACAUAGAAUGCUCGUAAAGCUGUCUUCUGUCACUACCAUUGGUGUUCACAAACUGAGUAUGCAGCUGCUGCCACCAGCAACGUGCAACAUAAUGGUCGGAUGCCAGGCAGUCGAGCAGAAUGGCUGGACAGUACGAUGGUUCAUUGCACCACAUGACACUAAGAAGCUGUGCUGGAAAAUUUUACUUGACAGACUGAAGGUUUUCAAAGCUCCAUCUGGUCGGGACCUGGAUCUUCCUGGAAAGAUGUUCACUCACUGAUAGGCCAAGGUCAGUGAAACUCCGCUGCUGCCCCUGUCCUCACCUGGAAUUGUUUCUCACUUAUGGUAGCGCAUCUCCUCUUCUGUGACCCUGUGCAAUGAAGAGGUCUACAUCUGAUAAUGAAAACCAGGAGCAUGAAAUAUCUAAGCAAAAACGAAGCUGGCAAGGACUGUCUUUGUUCUAUUACUCCCUAUUUGUGGUGAACUUGCCUUUUUGCAUUAAUAAUCUUGUAUGAUAGCUGGACCACUGCAAAUAUGAGUGUCAUAUGUAAAAGAUACUGUGCCAGAUUCUAUCCUUGAAUUUGUGGUAUUGUUCAUAUUGGCAAUCCAUAGUUUGUGUUAUUUCUUUUUUUUCCCUUCAUAUAUUGUCUCUUGGAUUUUACAUUAAAAAGCU
Long non-coding RNA from Aptenodytes forsteri (emperor penguin), 4543 nucleotides. RefSeq lists it as uncharacterized. The record is from RefSeq and is a predicted model, not a curated record. Lineage: Eukaryota; Metazoa; Chordata; Aves; Sphenisciformes; Spheniscidae. The transcript is spliced from 4 exons.